UACAGAGGUCCCAAGCGUUGUUCGGAUUCACUGGGCGUAAAGGGUUCGUAGGUGGUGGGGUAAGUUUGAUGUGAAAGCUCCGGGCUUAACCCGGAAAUGGCAUUGAAUACUAUCUCGCUUGAGGGUUGGAGGGGAGACUGGAAUUCUUGGUGUAGCAGUGAAAUGCGUAGAUAUCAAGAGGAACACCAGUGGCGAAGGCGAGUCUCUGGACAACUCCUGACACUGAGGCACGAAAGCUAGGGGAGCAAACGGG
This 253-nucleotide ribosomal RNA is filed under the name uncultured bacterium. RNAcentral describes it as "partial 16S ribosomal RNA". It matches the Rfam family "Bacterial small subunit ribosomal RNA", at positions 524 to 776 of the family's 1533-position model. The record is from RNAcentral.